AACGAACGCUGGCGGCAUGCCUAACACAUGCAAGUCGAACGAGACCUUCGGGUCUAGUGGCGCACGGGUGCGUAACGCGUGGGAACCUGCCCUUAGGUUCGGAAUAACUCCCCGAAAGGGGUGCUAAUACCGGACAAUGUCUUCGGACCAAAGAUUUAUCGCAUUUGGAUGGGCCCGCGUUGGAUUAGCUAGUUGGUAGGGUAAAAGCCUACCAAGGCGACGAUCCAUAGCUGGUCUGAGAGGAUGAUCAGCCACACUGGGACUGAGACACGGCCCAGACUCCUACGGGAGGCAGCAGUGGGGAAUAUUGGACAAUGGGCGGAAGCCUGAUCCAGCAAUGCCGCGUGAGUGAUGAAGGCCUUAGGGUUGUAAAGCUCUUUUACCCGGGAUGAUAAUGACGGUACCGGGAGAAUAAGCUCCGGCUAACUCCGUG
Molecule: ribosomal RNA, 433 nt
Filed under: uncultured bacterium
Lineage: Bacteria
Description: partial 16S ribosomal RNA
Rfam family: Bacterial small subunit ribosomal RNA
Source: RNAcentral